ACGAACGCUGGCGGCGUGCUUAACACAUGCCAGUCGAACGGAAAGGCCUCUUUCGGGGGGUACUCGAGUGGCGAACGGGUGAGUAACACGUGAGUAACCUGCCCUUGACUUUGGGAUAACUUCAGGAAACUGGGGCUAAUACCGGAUAGGAGCUCCUGCUGCAUGGUGGGGGUUGGAAAGUUUCGGCGGUUGGGGAUGGACUCGCGGCUUAUCAGCCUGUUGGUGGGGUAGUGGCUUACCAAGGCUUUGACGGGUAGCCGGCCUGAGAGGGUGACCGGCCACAUUGGGACUGAGAUACGGCCCAGACUCCUACGGGAGGCAGCAGUGGGGAAUAUUGCACAAUGGGCGGAAGCCUGAUGCAGCAACGCCGCGUGCGGGAUGACGGCCUUCGGGUUGUAAACCGCUUUCGCCUGUGACGAAGCGUGAGUGACGGUAAUGGGUAAAGAAGCACCGGCUAACUACGUG
RNAcentral lists this ribosomal RNA (465 nucleotides) under uncultured bacterium. RNAcentral's name for it is "partial 16S ribosomal RNA". It matches the Rfam family "Bacterial small subunit ribosomal RNA", at positions 29 to 507 of the family's 1533-position model. The record is from RNAcentral.